GAUGAGAACGUAGCGAAAUGCGAUACUUGGUGUGAAUUGCAGAAUCCCGUGAACCAUCGAGUCUUUGAACGCAAGUUGCGCCCGAAGCCAUUAGGCCGAGGGCACGCCUGCCUGGGCGUCACACGUCGUUGCCCCCCCAUCUACUCCUUCGGGAUUGCGGGGGGCGGAUGAUGGCCUCUCGUGCGCCUCGUCGCGCGGUUGGCCUAAAUGCCAAGUCCUCGGCGACGCACGCCACGACAAUCGGUGGUUGCGAAACCUCGGUUGCCUGUCGUGUGCGGUCGUCGCGCAUCGAGGGCUCGAAAAAAUUGCCGGGCUUCGGCUCGACUUUCAACGCGACCCCAGGUCAGGCGGGGUUACCCGCUGAAUUUAAGCAUAUCAAUAAGCGGAGGA
This 390-nucleotide unclassified non-coding RNA is filed under the name soil metagenome. Its description in RNAcentral is "partial contains 5.8S ribosomal RNA, internal transcribed spacer 2, and large subunit ribosomal RNA". The stretch from base 5 to 121 matches the Rfam family "5.8S ribosomal RNA", at positions 40 to 154 of the family's 154-position model. The record is from RNAcentral.